GGUACGGGUUGUGAGAGCAAGAGCCUGGAGACGGUAUCUGAGACAAGAUACCGGGCCCUACGGGGCGCAGCAGGCGCGAAACCUUUACACUGCACGACAGUGCGAUAGGGGGACUCCGAGUGUGAGGGCAUAUAGCCCUCGCUUUUCCUGAACCGUAAGGUGGUUCAGGAACAAGGACUGGGCAAGACCGGUGCCAGCCGCCGCGGUAAUACCGGCAGUCCAAGUGAUGGCCGAUAUUAUUGGGCCUAAAGCGUCCGUAGCUAUUCCGGUUGAU
This 274-nucleotide ribosomal RNA is filed under the name halophilic archaeon. Its description in RNAcentral is "partial 16S ribosomal RNA". It matches the Rfam family "Archaeal small subunit ribosomal RNA", at positions 266 to 538 of the family's 1478-position model. The record is from RNAcentral. Lineage: Archaea; Methanobacteriati; Methanobacteriota; Halobacteria; Halobacteriales.